UACAGAGGGUGCAAGCGUUGUUCGGAAUUAUUGGGCGUAAAGGGAGUGUAGGCGGCUAGGAAAGUCUUCUGUGAAAUCUACGGGCUUACCCUGUAAUGUGCAGAGGAAACUAUCUGGCUAGAGUGUUGGAGAGGAUAGGGGAAUACCCAGUGUAGAGGUGAAAUUCGUAGAGAUUGGGUGGAACACCAGUGGCGAAGGCGCCUGUCUGGCUGACAACUGACGCUGAGACUCGAAAGCAUGGGGAGCAAACAGG
Molecule: ribosomal RNA, 253 nt
Filed under: uncultured bacterium
Lineage: Bacteria
Description: partial 16S ribosomal RNA
Rfam family: Bacterial small subunit ribosomal RNA
Source: RNAcentral